AUUCGCGUUUGCCGCUAAACGAAAUUCCAAUCGGCGAUCCGCAUUCUACCUGCGCAUUCGUGUCGCGCAACACGUGACCAGGCGUCAAGGUGGGGGCGGAGUGGGGGUAACCAGGUUCUCCCACUUUUGUUCGUCCCGCUUGCGAAUCGUUUCAGCGCGAUGUACAGUGCUGGAGGAUACGCCAAGUACCGAGGAGAAGGAAAAUAGGCGAGAAAGAGAGACAGCUACAUAAACACGAAGAACGGAAUACGCUCGGGAGAGGAACGAUAUACAAUACGUGGAAGCUACACGUAUCCGUGAACAGACGAUGGUUCGAAGGAAGCCAUGAGUCUCUCUGUUCCAGGGAAUGGAUCCAUGUUUUCCACUCGAGAACCGAUUUGUCGAUGACGCAGACGAAACUGAGUUCCUUUGAAGAGAGGCGAAAGACUCAUAGGAGAUACAGGUUACGGGGAAAAACUGGAAUUCUCAGUAAGAAAACGGGAGAAGGCUGGGACUGUUGGAAAACGUUCUUGGCCGCUUUUCGAUCCCUUUCCUUCUCUUUACUUUAAGUUGUUUAUCAGUACGGCGUAGAUAAGGAGACGUCGUGACUUUCGUGUUCCGUUGCUGGAUAUUGUUAAUUCUUUCCAUUUAUUAGCGUAGAAUUAUUAUUAACUUGUAAUAAGGGACGAUAGUUAAAAACUUUUUAGUGACUUGUUACAUGGAUCAAAAUAUCGUAAGUCGUUUAACACGGAUAAUGACGACAGGAUGGAGGAAAAAUAUAAAAUAGUUACAAAGAAAUAAUUAUAAUCAUGAUUACGAUAUCUUCGUAAGAAAUGAGAAGUGAUUAUAAACAAAAUGUACAAUUUUCCAGACGAUGUUGAAAUCGGCAAAAGAUAUUCGAUUGAACUUGAAAAAUUUCUAUUGUAA
This 906-nucleotide unclassified non-coding RNA is filed under the name Bombus terrestris (buff-tailed bumblebee). Its description in RNAcentral is "misc RNA ENSBTSG00005026194.1". Lineage: Eukaryota; Metazoa; Arthropoda; Insecta; Hymenoptera; Apidae. The record is from RNAcentral.